RNAcentral lists this ribosomal RNA (484 nucleotides) under uncultured bacterium. RNAcentral describes it as "partial 16S ribosomal RNA". It matches the Rfam family "Bacterial small subunit ribosomal RNA", at positions 30 to 507 of the family's 1533-position model. The record is from RNAcentral.
AUUGAACGCUGGCGGCAGGCCUAACACAUGCAAGUCGAGCGGAUGAAGGGAGCUUGCUCCUGGAUUCAGCGGCGGACGGGUGAGUAAUGCCUAGGAAUCUGCCUGGUAGUGGGGGAUAACGUCCGGAAACGGGCGCUAAUACCGCAUACGUCCUGAGGGAGAAAGUGGGGGAUCUUCGGACCUCACGCUAUCAGAUGAGCCUAGGUCGGAUUAGCUAGUUGGUGGGGUAAGGGCCUACCAAGGCGACGAUCCGUAACUGGUCUGAGAGGAUGAUCAGUCACACUGGAACUGAGACACGGUCCAGACUCCUACGGGAGGCAGCAGUGGGGAAUAUUGGACAAAGGGCGAAAGCCUGAUCCAGCCACGCCGCGUGUGUGAAGAAGGUCUUCGGAUUGUAAAGCACUUUAAGUUGGGAGGAAGGGCAGUAAGUUAAUACCUUGCUGUUUUGACGUUACCAACAGAAUAAGCACCGGCUAACUUCGUG